GCAUGCUGGAGGUAUCAGAAGUGCGAAUGCUGACAUAAGUAACGAUAAAGCGGGUGAAAAGCCCGCUCGCCGGAAGACCAAGGGUUCCUGUCCAACGUUAAUCGGGGCAGGGUGAGUCGACCCCUAAGGCGAGGCCGAAAGGCGUAGUCGAUGGGAAACAGGUUAAUAUUCCUGUACUUGGUGUUACUGCGAAGGGGGGACGGAGAAGGCUAUGUUGGCCGGGCGACGGUUGUCCCGGUUUAAGCGUGUAGGCUGGUUUUCCAGGCAAAUCCGGAAAAUCAAGGCUGAGGCGUGAUGACGAGGCACUACGGUGCUGAAGCAACAAAUGCCCUGCUUCCAGGAAAAGCCUCUAAGCAUCAGGUAACAUCAAAUCGUACCCCAAACCGACACAGGUGGUCAGGUAGAGAAUACCAAGGCGCUUGAGAGAACUCGGGUGAAGGAACUAGGCAAAAUGGUGCCGUAACUUCGGGAGAAGGC
This 477-nucleotide ribosomal RNA is filed under the name Escherichia coli. Its description in RNAcentral is "partial 23S ribosomal RNA". It matches the Rfam family "Bacterial large subunit ribosomal RNA", at positions 1268 to 1747 of the family's 2925-position model. The record is from RNAcentral. Lineage: Bacteria; Pseudomonadati; Pseudomonadota; Gammaproteobacteria; Enterobacterales; Enterobacteriaceae.